This 464-nucleotide ribosomal RNA is filed under the name Vreelandella stevensii. Its description in RNAcentral is "partial 16S ribosomal RNA". It matches the Rfam family "Bacterial small subunit ribosomal RNA", at positions 338 to 794 of the family's 1533-position model. The record is from RNAcentral. Lineage: Bacteria; Pseudomonadati; Pseudomonadota; Gammaproteobacteria; Oceanospirillales; Halomonadaceae.
CCUACGGGAGGCUGCAGUGGGGAAUAUUGGACAAUGGGCGAAAGCCUGAUCCAGCCAUGCCGCGUGUGUGAAGAAGGCCUUCGGGUUGUAAAGCACUUUCAGUGGGGAAGAAAGCCUUGGGGCUAAUACCCUCGAGGAAGGACAUCACCCACAGAAGAAGCACCGGCUAACUCCGUGCCAGCAGCCGCGGUAAUACGGAGGGUGCGAGCGUUAAUCGGAAUUACUGGGCGUAAAGCGCGCGUAGGCGGUCUGAUAAGCCGGUUGUGAAAGCCCCGGGCUCAACCUGGGAACGGCAUCCGGAACUGUCAGGCUAGAGUGCAGGAGAGGAAGGUAGAAUUCCCGGUGUAGCGGUGAAAUGCGUAGAGAUCGGGAGGAAUACCAGUGGCGAAGGCGGCCUUCUGGACUGACACUGACGCUGAGGUGCGAAAGCGUGGGUAGCAAACAGGAUUAGAUACCCCAGUAUC